This 460-nucleotide ribosomal RNA is filed under the name uncultured bacterium. RNAcentral describes it as "partial 16S ribosomal RNA". It matches the Rfam family "Bacterial small subunit ribosomal RNA", at positions 338 to 795 of the family's 1533-position model. The record is from RNAcentral.
CCUACGGGUGGCAGCAGUGAGGAAUAUUGGUCAAUGGACGCAAGUCUGAACCAGCCAUGUCGCGUGCAGGAAGACGGCUCUAUGAGUUGUAAACUGCUUUUGUACGAGGGUAAACGCAGAUACGCGUAUCUGUUUGAAAGUAUCCUAAGAAUAAGCAUCGGCUAACUCCGUGCCAGCAGCCGCGGUAAUACGGAGGAUUCAAGCGUUAUCCGGAUUUAUUGGGUUUAAAGGGUGCGUAGGCGGUCGGAUAAGUUAGCGGUGAAAUCGGGAGGCUCAACCUCGGAAUUGCCUCUGAUACUGUUCGGCUUGAGAGUAGUUGCGGUAGGCGGAAUGUGUGGUGUAGCGGUGAAAUGCAUAGAGAUCAUGCAGAACACCGAUUGCGAAGGCAGCUUACCAAGCUACAACUGACGUUGAGGCACGAAAGCGUGGGGAGCAAACAGGAUUAGAUACCCCUGUAGUC